This 253-nucleotide ribosomal RNA is filed under the name uncultured bacterium. RNAcentral describes it as "partial 16S ribosomal RNA". It matches the Rfam family "Bacterial small subunit ribosomal RNA", at positions 524 to 776 of the family's 1533-position model. The record is from RNAcentral.
UACGUAGGGUGCAGGCGUUAAUCGGAAUUACUGGGCGUAAAGCGUGCGCAGGCGGUUUUGUAAGCCAGAUGUGAAAGCCCCGGGCUUAACCUGGGAAUGGCAUUUGGGACUGCAAGGCUGGAGUACGGCAGAGGGAGGUGGAAUUCCAGGUGUAGCAGUGAAAUGCGUAGAUAUCUGGAGGAACACCGAUGGCGAAGGCAGCCUCCUGGGCUAGUACUGACGCUCAUGCACGAAAGCGUGGGGAGCAAACAGG